GGUCCCAUCUGCUUAGUGGUUAUCACGUUUGCCUCACACCUCCAGAGUCCGGGGUUCAAUUCCCGCCGGGGCCA
Ameiurus melas (black bullhead) is the source of this 74-nucleotide non-coding RNA. The record is from the annotation of a GenBank genome assembly. NCBI's taxonomy places the organism in Eukaryota, Metazoa, Chordata, Actinopteri, Siluriformes, Ictaluridae.